AACGAACGCUGGCGGCAUGCCUAACACAUGCAAGUCGAACGAGCACUUCGGGUCUAGUGGCGCACGGGUGCGUAACGCGUGGGAACAUGAACUUAGGUUCGGAAUAACUCUCAGAAAGGGGUGCUAAUAGCGGACAAUGUCUUCGGACCAAAGAUUUAUCGCACUUGGAUGGGCCCGCGUUGGAUUAGCUUGUUAGUAGGGUAAAAGACUACUAAGGCGCCGAUCAAUAGCUGGUCUGUGAGGAUGAUCAGCCACACUGGGACUGAGACGCGGCCCAGACUCCUACGGGAUGCAGCAGUGGGGAAUAUAGGACAGUCGGCGAAAUCCUGAUGCACCAAUGCCGCGUGAGUGAUGAAGGUCUUAGGGUUGUAAAGCUCAAUUAACCGUGAUCAUAAUGACAGUACCGAAAGAAUAAGCCCCGGCUAACUCCGUG
RNAcentral lists this ribosomal RNA (433 nucleotides) under uncultured bacterium. RNAcentral's name for it is "partial 16S ribosomal RNA". It matches the Rfam family "Bacterial small subunit ribosomal RNA", at positions 29 to 507 of the family's 1533-position model. The record is from RNAcentral.